AUUGAACGCUGGCGGCAUGCCUUACACAUGCAAGUCGAACGGCAGCACGGGUGCUUGCACCUGGUGGCGAGUGGCGAACGGGUGAGUAAUACAUCGGAACAUGUCCUGUAGUGGGGGAUAGCCCGGCGAAAGCCGGAUUAAUACCGCAUACGAUCUACGGAUGAAAGCGGGGGACCUUCGGGCCUCGCGCUAUAGGGUUGGCCGAUGGCUGAUUAGCUAGUUGGUGGGGUAAAGGCCUACCAAGGCGACGAUCAGUAGCUGGUCUGAGAGGACGACCAGCCACACUGGGACUGAGACACGGCCCAGACUCCUACGGGAGGCAGCAGUGGGGAAUUUUGGACAAUGGGCGAAAGCCUGAUCCAGCAAUGCCGCGUGUGUGAAGAAGGCCUUCGGGUUGUAAGCACUUUUGUCCGGAAAGAAAUCCUUGGCCCUAAUACGGUCGGGGGAUGACGGUACCGGAAGAAUAGGCACCGGCUAACUACGUG
This 485-nucleotide ribosomal RNA is filed under the name uncultured bacterium. RNAcentral describes it as "partial 16S ribosomal RNA". It matches the Rfam family "Bacterial small subunit ribosomal RNA", at positions 30 to 507 of the family's 1533-position model. The record is from RNAcentral.